UACGGAGGAUGCAAGCGUUAUCCGGAUUCAUUGGGUUUAAAGGGUGCGCAGGCGGGCUUGUAAGUCAGUGGUGAAAUACUGCCGCUCAACGGUAGAACUGCCAUUGAUACUGCAAGUCUUGAAUAUGGUUGAGGUAGGCGGAAUGUGUCGUGUAGCGGUGAAAUGCAUAGAUAUGACACAGAACGCCAAUUGCGAAGGCAGCUUACUAAGCCAUUAUUGACGCUGAGGCACGAAAGCGUGGGGAGCGAACAGG
This 253-nucleotide ribosomal RNA is filed under the name uncultured bacterium. RNAcentral describes it as "partial 16S ribosomal RNA". It matches the Rfam family "Bacterial small subunit ribosomal RNA", at positions 524 to 776 of the family's 1533-position model. The record is from RNAcentral.